This 164-nucleotide ribosomal RNA is filed under the name Collinsia grandiflora. RNAcentral describes it as "5.8S ribosomal RNA". It matches the Rfam family "5.8S ribosomal RNA". Rfam says of the family: 5.8S ribosomal RNA (5.8S rRNA) is a component of the large subunit of the eukaryotic ribosome. It is transcribed by RNA polymerase I as part of the 45S precursor that also contains 18S and 28S rRNA. Functionally, it is thought that 5.8S rRNA may be involved in ribosome translocation. The record is from RNAcentral. Lineage: Eukaryota; Viridiplantae; Streptophyta; Magnoliopsida; Lamiales; Plantaginaceae.
AAAACGACUCUCGGCAACGGAUAUCUCGGCUCUCGCAUCGAUAAAGAACGUAGCGAAAUGCGAUACUUGGUGUGAAUUGCARAAUCCCGUGAACCAUCGAGUCUUUGAACGCAAGUUGCGCCCGAAGCCAUUAGGCCGAGGGCACGUCUGCCUGGGCGUCACGC